Myripristis murdjan (pinecone soldierfish) is the source of this 89-nucleotide long non-coding RNA. RefSeq lists it as uncharacterized. Lineage: Eukaryota; Metazoa; Chordata; Actinopteri; Holocentriformes; Holocentridae. The record is from RefSeq and is a predicted model, not a curated record. The transcript is spliced from 2 exons.
AGCAAUUCCCUCAAACACACACUCAAACUUCUUCUUCAGGUUCGAUUUGAGUUCACGUUGGUACACUGCAGCAAGAGUUUCUGAAUGAA